Molecule: long non-coding RNA, 686 nt
Organism: Panthera uncia (snow leopard)
Lineage: Eukaryota; Metazoa; Chordata; Mammalia; Carnivora; Felidae
Exons: 2
Source: RefSeq, a predicted model, not a curated record
CGGCAGAGGAGCGGAAGUUGGCUGCCGGCGUGGCCGAAGCGUGUGUAGAGUGAGAGGAGGAGCGUUUGUCGCCUUGGCGUCUGUCAGCAGGCGCAGUGAAAGACAAAGAUGAAGACCCCCUGGAAGGCGUUGAAAGUGGUGAAGAGAUAGGCCAUGACCACCGACUCCUUAUUGAUGAAGAGCAGGCCGAAAGCCCAAGUGAGACCCAGCAGGAAGAGCAGCGCGAUGGCCCCCAGGGCCCAGGAUCUGGGGAGGGGGAGAGGGAGAAGGGAUAUCAAAGUCCCUUACAGUGGAGAAGCCCUCCCCCGUAGCCCUGCUGCGUGUCCCUCUUCAGGCGAGCCUCGAUGCUGGCUGCAAAGACCCACCUAGGAUGCGCGGGCCUCGGGGGGAAUGGCCUGCACCGCGGUACUUUCAACCAGCCCGGGCCCGAGGUCGGGGUUUGGGGUUUUGCAAAGGUCAGUCGUUAGCCUUCACCCUUUGGUCCGUGUUUCCAGCCCCUUAAACUGUCUUUUGCUGCCUAUUUCUCUGUAAGUUUCCUUGAAGUGGACUUACCUUUUGCACUUAGCCUUACACUAACCAGCUAUGUCUUCAAGAGCACAGGUUAGAUGUGUUAAAUCCCGCGUUUUCCAAUACUCAUUAAGUAGAUAUAUAACAAGCACAAUAAAACACCACAUUUGUCCUUAAAA